UGGGUUAGUGGCAGACGGGUGAGUAAUGCAUAGGAAUCUGCCUAGUAGUAUGGGAUAGCCACUAGAAAUGGUGGGUAAUACUGUAUACGCCCUGCGGGGGAAAGAUUUAUCGCUACUAGAUGAGCCUAUGUUAGAUUAGCUAGUUGGUAGGGUAAAGGCCUACCAAGGCAGUGAUCUAUAGCUGGUCUGAGAGGAUGAUCAGCCACACUGGAACUGAGAUACGGUCCAGACUCCUACGGGAGGCAGCAGUGGGGAAUAUUGGACAAUGGGCGCAAGCCUGAUCCAGCUAUGCCGCGUGAGUGAGGAAGGCCUUAGGGUUGUAAAACUCUUUCAGUGGGGAAGAUAAUGACGGUACCCACAGAAGAAGUCCCGGCAAACUCCGUGCCAGCAGCCGCGGUAAUACGGAGGGGGCAAGCGUUGUUCGGAAUUAUUGGGCGUAAAGGGCAUGUAGGCGGUUCGGUAAGUUAAAGGUGAAAUGCCAGGGCUUAACCCUGGAGCUGCUUUUUAAUACUGCC
RNAcentral lists this ribosomal RNA (515 nucleotides) under uncultured Anaplasma sp. RNAcentral's name for it is "bacterial SSU rRNA". It matches the Rfam family "Bacterial small subunit ribosomal RNA", at positions 88 to 637 of the family's 1533-position model. Lineage: Bacteria; Pseudomonadati; Pseudomonadota; Alphaproteobacteria; Rickettsiales; Anaplasmataceae. The record is from RNAcentral.